GAUGAAGAACGCAGCAAAAUGCGAUACUUGGUGUGAAUUGCAGAAUCCCGUGAACCAUCGAGUUUUUGAACGCAAGUUGCGCCCGAAGCCUUUUGGCCGAGGGCACGUCUGCCUGGGCGUCACGCAUCGCGUCGCCCCCCACAAUUCUCCGUAAAGGGAACGUGUGUUUUGGGGGCGGAUAUUGGUCUCCCGUGCUCAUGGCGUGGUUGGCCGAAAUAGGAGUCCCUUCGAUGGACGCACGAACUAGUGGUGGUCGUAAAAACCCUCGUCUUUUGUUUCGUGCCGUUAGUCGCGAGGGAAACUCUUAGAAAACCCCAGCGUGUCGUCUUUUGACGGCGCUUCGACCGCGACCCCAGGUCAGGCGGGACUACCCGCUGAGUUUAAGCAUAUCAUAAGCGGAGGA
This 403-nucleotide unclassified non-coding RNA is filed under the name soil metagenome. RNAcentral describes it as "partial contains 5.8S ribosomal RNA, internal transcribed spacer 2, and large subunit ribosomal RNA". The stretch from base 1 to 122 matches the Rfam family "5.8S ribosomal RNA", at positions 35 to 154 of the family's 154-position model. The record is from RNAcentral.